AGUGAACGCUGGCGGCAGGCCUAACACAUGCAAGUCGAACGGCAGCACAGUAAGAGCUUGCUCUUGCGGGUGGCGAGUGGCGGACGGGUGAGGAAUACAUCGGAUUCUACUUUUUCGUGGGGGAUAACGUAGGGAAACUUACGCUAAUACCGCAUACGACCUACGGGUGAAAGCAGGGGAUCUUCGGACCUUGCGCGAUUGUAUGAGCCGAUGUCGGCUUAGGUUGUUGGCGGGGUAAAGGCCCAACAAGGCGACGCUCCGUAGCAGGUCUGAGGGGAUGAACAGCCACCCUGUAACUGAGGAACGGUCCCGACACCUACGGGGAGCAGCAGUGGGGAAUAUUAGAGAAUGGGGGCAAGGCUGAUCCAGCCAUAUCGCGUGGAGGAAGAAGGCCUUAUGGUUGGUAAGCCCUUUUGGUGUGAGAGAAAAGCAGCAGUUUAAUACCCCGCGGUUCUGACGGUACCCGAAGAAUAAGCACCGGCUAACUUCGUG
This 492-nucleotide ribosomal RNA is filed under the name uncultured bacterium. RNAcentral describes it as "partial 16S ribosomal RNA". It matches the Rfam family "Bacterial small subunit ribosomal RNA", at positions 29 to 507 of the family's 1533-position model. The record is from RNAcentral.